GACAGAGGUGCCGAGCGUUAGGCGGAAUCACUGGGCUUAAAGCGUGUGUAGGCGGACUUCUAAGUACCUUGUGAAAUCCCACGGCUUAACCGUGGAACUGCUUGGUAUACUGGUUGUCUUGGGCCAUCUAGGGGCUACUGGAACAAACGGUGGAGCGGUGAAAUGCGUAGAGAUCGGGAGGAACACCAGUGGCGAAGGCGGCUACCUGGACCAGCACUGACACUGAAGCACGAAAGCGUGGGGAGCAAACAGG
This 253-nucleotide ribosomal RNA is filed under the name uncultured bacterium. RNAcentral's name for it is "partial 16S ribosomal RNA". It matches the Rfam family "Bacterial small subunit ribosomal RNA", at positions 524 to 776 of the family's 1533-position model. The record is from RNAcentral.